GACGAACGCUGGCGGCGUGCUUAACACAUGCAAGUCGAACGGAAAGGCCCUGCUUGCAGGGUACUCGAGUGGCGAACGGGGGAGUAAUACGUGGGUGAUCUGCCCUCCACUUCGGGAUAAGCCUGGGAAACUGGGGCUAAUACCGGAUAGGAGCCAUUUUUAGGGAGAGGGUUGGAAAGAUUUUUCGGUGUAGGAUGAGCUCGCGGCCUAUCAGCUUGUUGGUGGGGUAAUGGCCUACCAAGGCGGCGACGGGUAGCCGGCCUGAGAGGGUGGCCGGCCACCAUGGGACUGGGAACCGGCCCCGCCUCCUACGGGGGGCAGCAGUGGGGAAUUUUGCACAAUGGGCGCCAGCCUGAUGCAGCGACGCCGCGGGGGGGAUUACCGCCUUCCGGUUGUAAACUCCUUUCGCUAGGGACGAAGCUUUUUGUGACGGUACCUAGAUAAGAAGCACCGGCUAACUACGUG
Molecule: ribosomal RNA, 465 nt
Filed under: uncultured bacterium
Lineage: Bacteria
Description: partial 16S ribosomal RNA
Rfam family: Bacterial small subunit ribosomal RNA
Source: RNAcentral